CAGUGCCGCGGGAAAACGGAGGGUGCAAGCGUUAAUCGGAAUUACUGGGCGUAAAGCGCACGCAGGCGGUCUGACAAGUCAGAUGUGAAAUCCCCGGGCUUAACCUGGGAACUGCAUUUGAAACUGUCAGGCUGGAGUCUUGUAGAGGGGGGUAGAAUUCCAGGUGUAGCGGUGAAAUGCGUAGAGAUCUGGAGGAAUACCGGUGGCGAAGGCGGCCCCCUGGACAAAGACUGACGCUCAGGUGCGAAAGCGUGGGGAGCAAACAGGAUUAGAGACCCGAGUAGUCCCUGUCUCUUAUACA
RNAcentral lists this ribosomal RNA (301 nucleotides) under uncultured bacterium. RNAcentral's name for it is "partial 16S ribosomal RNA". It matches the Rfam family "Bacterial small subunit ribosomal RNA", at positions 509 to 808 of the family's 1533-position model. The record is from RNAcentral.